UAUAGCUAUAAUUAACAACUCGCUUAGCUUCCCCAUUCGUUCUGCAUCUUUUUUAGCUCCUCUUUCAAGCUCCUCCUCAUCAAAUUAAAUUUCCUGCAUUUCAACCAACUACAGUUGGAUCAUAUUGAAUUGAAGGAAUAGAGAGAUGGCAAGCGAAGCACCAAGUUGGGCUGAUCAAUGGGGUGCUGGUGGUAUUGGUGCCAUGGAAGAUGAUGCCACAACAUUCCAAAAAGACACUGGAAAGAACAAGAAGUCUGGUUCUAAGGGUGGUUUUGGUAGAGUCAAAGCAACCGCUUCAAAUUGUGUGAAAUGGAUGAAAAGCCUUUGCAAGAGAAAGAAAGCAUCCAAGUAAUGAGAGCACGCAACAACUAACUCCUCUCUCUAUGCACUUCUAAUUGGAGAUAUCAAUUUUGUAAUUUAUUUCCAAUCUUAAUGAACUGAGUUUGCUUGAGAGUUAAUAAAGCACGUUGCUUAGGAA
Molecule: long non-coding RNA, 478 nt
Organism: Arachis stenosperma
Lineage: Eukaryota; Viridiplantae; Streptophyta; Magnoliopsida; Fabales; Fabaceae
Exons: 2
Source: RefSeq, a predicted model, not a curated record